This 918-nucleotide ribosomal RNA is filed under the name Agromyces cerinus subsp. cerinus. Its description in RNAcentral is "bacterial SSU rRNA". It matches the Rfam family "Bacterial small subunit ribosomal RNA", at positions 56 to 980 of the family's 1533-position model. The record is from RNAcentral. Lineage: Bacteria; Bacillati; Actinomycetota; Actinomycetes; Micrococcales; Microbacteriaceae.
UGCAAGUCGAACGAUGAACUUGGAGCUUGCUCUGGGGGAUUAGUGGCGAACGGGUGAGUAACACGUGAGUAACCUGCCCUGGACUCUGGGAUAACCCCGAGAAAUCGGAGCUAAUACCGGAUAGGACCUGGAACCGCAUGGUUUUGGGUGGAAAGUUUUUUCGGUCUGGGAUGGACUCGCGGCCUAUCAGCUUGUUGGUGAGGUAAUGGCUCACCAAGGCGUCGACGGGUAGCCGGCCUGAGAGGGUGACCGGCCACACUGGGACUGAGACACGGCCCAGACUCCUACGGGAGGCAGCAGUGGGGAAUAUUGCACAAUGGGCGAAAGCCUGAUGCAGCAACGCCGCGUGAGGGAUGACGGCCUUCGGGUUGUAAACCUCUUUUAGUAGGGAAGAAGGGCUUCGGCUUGACGGUACCUGCAGAAAAAGCACCGGCUAACUACGUGCCAGCAGCCGCGGUAAUACGUAGGGUGCGAGCGUUGUCCGGAAUUAUUGGGCGUAAAGAGCUCGUAGGCGGUUUGUCACGUCUGCUGUGAAAUCCCGAGGCUCAACCUCGGGCCUGCAGUGGGUACGGGCAGACUGGAGUGCGGUAGGGGAGAUUGGAAUUCCUGGUGUAGCGGUGGAAUGCGCAGAUAUCAGGAGGAACACCGAUGGCGAAGGCAGAUCUCUGGGCCGUAACUGACGCUGAGGAGCGAAAGCGUGGGGAGCGAACAGGAUUAGAUACCCUGGUAGUCCACGCCGUAAACGUUGGGCGCUAGAUGUGGGGACCAUUCCACGGUUUCCGUGUCGUAGCUAACGCAUUAAGCGCCCCGCCUGGGGAGUACGGCCGCAAGGCUAAACUCAAAGGAAUUGACGGGGGCCCGCACAAGCGGCGGAGCAUGCGGAUUAAUUCGAUGCAACGCGAAGAACCUUACCAAGGC